RNAcentral lists this non-coding RNA (27 nucleotides) under Homo sapiens (human). Lineage: Eukaryota; Metazoa; Chordata; Mammalia; Primates; Hominidae. The record is from RNAcentral.
CGCCAAUGAUGAGGACAGGGUCUGAGG